AUAUCGACGGCGGUGUUUGGCACCUCGAUGUCGGCUCAUCACAUCCUGGGGCUGAAGUAGGUCCCAAGGGUAUGGCUGUUCGCCAUUUAAAGUGGUACGCGAGCUGGGUUUAGAACGUCGUGAGACAGUUCGGUCCCUAUCUGCCGUGGGCGCUGGAGAACUGAGGGGGGCUGCUCCUAGUACGAGAGGACCGGAGUGGACGCAUCACUGGUGUUCGGGUUGUCAUGCCAAUGGCACUGCCCGGUAGCUAAAUGCGGAAGAGAUAAGUGCUGAAAGCAUCUAAGCACGAAACUUGCCCCGAGAUGAGUUCUCCCUGACUCCUUGAGAGUCCUGAAGGAACGUUGAAGACGACGACGUUGAUAGGCCGGAUGUGUAAGCGCAGCGAUGCGUUGAGCUAACCGGUACUAAUGAACCGUGAGGCUUAACCUUACAACGCCGAAGCUGUU
Molecule: ribosomal RNA, 446 nt
Filed under: Escherichia coli
Lineage: Bacteria; Pseudomonadati; Pseudomonadota; Gammaproteobacteria; Enterobacterales; Enterobacteriaceae
Description: bacterial LSU rRNA
Rfam family: Bacterial large subunit ribosomal RNA
Source: RNAcentral